UGGAUCCUCAAUGCUCUUCAACUUUGUACUUGUUUGGCUUUAUAAAUAUUUUGAUAUGAGCGUCACUGAUGAGUCUUAUGUAGACGAAACGCGCGUCUGGCGUACUACAUUAUAAUCCUGGUACCUUUGAUAACUAAUUUCAACUAUUUUGAAAUAAACCUUUUUUUCGAUUCCAUUUAUUGUUUGUUAUUUUCAAGAUAAAAAAACAAAAGUCAAUACUAUAAACUUGACCUUGAGGGAUUUAUCAUUACCUUGACCUCAUUUUCUUAUGAGAAAUACUUAUAAAAAUCUCAUGCAAGAAAAAAGAAUCCUGUUAAAAGUGCGCAGAAGUGCAAUUACUGUUCGAUAUCAUAUAUGCCAAAUAUCUAAGCAAUAUCUUCUAAAAUCAUAUAUAUGAUAUAUAUAUAUUAUAUUACGCAAGAAAUUAAAGUUACAGAGGGAAAAUGAUUAUAGAACUAUUUGAAAAACUUGACAAUAUCUGGGACAUGACUUUGACCCUACACAGGUCAUUGGUCCCAAAUGGUAUUUCAAAAUCUCCAAUAUGUCUUUUGGGUUAAGAUUUCGUGCAAAUUAAUUUUUUAGAAACCCUUACUGAGGAUCAAAUAUCUCGGUCAAUAAAUUACAAAGUUGCACCCGGAUGACCCAAACUUUUUCCACUAUUCAAGACUUAUGUCAGUGUUAUGGUUUCUGACAUAUCCAUUAAUAAGGUAAAAGGUCAAAGGAUAAGGUCAACCAUAACAGCUGUCAAACAUUUACAACAUUGGAAUAGGGUUAAAAACACAUUAUCCUUUAUCCAGGACAUUGGUCUCCGCUUUCAUUACAAAAGACCCAAUGGGUCUAGGAUCUUUUUGUCUUUUUCGAAAACCGCCUUCUGAAAAGGUACAUUAAUUUUACAUAAAAAAAAAAAACAAACGUAUCGUGAUUUCAAAAAUAUUAAUCGUUGUAAAACUUGUGUUGUUAGGGUGCUCUCUCGUACGAUUUACUCAAUAUUUCCUUUUCUGUGUGCCAUACUAGUAAUGAGGAUCCGGUUAAGUGAUGUAUAGUAAGAUUAAAAUCUAAUAUGAAAUGUUGAAUAUCUAAAUA
This 1083-nucleotide long non-coding RNA is filed under the name Mytilus galloprovincialis (Mediterranean mussel). Lineage: Eukaryota; Metazoa; Mollusca; Bivalvia; Mytilida; Mytilidae. The record is from RNAcentral.